RNAcentral lists this ribosomal RNA (687 nucleotides) under uncultured bacterium. RNAcentral describes it as "bacterial SSU rRNA". It matches the Rfam family "Bacterial small subunit ribosomal RNA", at positions 108 to 794 of the family's 1533-position model. The record is from RNAcentral.
GANNAACGCGUAUGCAACCUGUCCGUUACAGGGGGAUAGCCCAUGGAAACGUGGAUUAACACUCCAUAAUAUAAUAUAGAGGCAUCUUUGUAUUAUUAAAUAUUCAUAGGUAACGGUUGGGCAUGCGUCCUAUUAGAUAGUUGGGGGGGUAACGGCCCACCAAGUCGAUGAUAGGUAGGGGUUCUGAGAGGAAGGUCCCCCACACUGGUACUGAGACACGGACCAGACUCCUACGGGAGGCAGCAGUGAGGAAUAUUGGUCAAUGGGCGAGAGCCUGAACCAGCCAAGUCGCGUGAGGGAUGACUGCCCUAUGGGUUGUAAACCUCUUUUGUAUGGGGGGAAUAAGCUUUACGAGUAGAGUGAUGACAGUACCAUACGAAUAAGCAUCGGCUAACUCCGUGCCAGCAGCCGCGGUAAUACGGAGGAUGCGAGCGUUAUCCGGAUUUAUUGGGUUUAAAGGGUGCGUAGGCGGCAUUAUAAGUUAGUGGUAAAAUAUUGGGGCUUCACCUCACUACGCCAUUAAUACUGUAGAGCUAGAGAACAGACGAGGUAGGCGGAAUAAGUUAAGUAGCGGUGAAAUGCAUAGAUAUAACUUAGAACACCGAUAGCGAAGGCAGCUUACCAGACUGAGUCUGACGCUGAUGCACGAGAGCAUGGGUAGCGAACAGGAUUAGAUACCCUGGUAGU